AUACGUAGGGGGCGAGCGUUGUCCGGAAUGACUGGGCGUAAAGGGCGUGUAGGCGGCCGAUUAAGUCUGGAGUGAAAGUCCCGCUUUCAAGGUGGGAAUUGCUUUGGAGACUGGUUGGCUUGAGUGCGGAAGAGGGAAGUGGAAUUCCCAGUGUAGCGGUGAAAUGCGUAGAGAUUGGGAGGAACACCAGUGGCGAAGGCGACUUACUGGUCCGUAACUGACGCUGAGGCGCGAAAGCGUGGGGAGCGAACAGGAUUAGAUACCCUGGUAGUCCACGCUGUAAACGAUGAAUGCUAGGUGUAGGGGGUAUCGACCCCUCCUGUGCCGGAGUAAACGCAAUAAGCAUUCCGCCUGGGGAGUACGGCCGCAAGGUUGAAACUCAAAGGAAUUGACGGGG
Molecule: ribosomal RNA, 397 nt
Filed under: uncultured bacterium
Lineage: Bacteria
Description: partial 16S ribosomal RNA
Rfam family: Bacterial small subunit ribosomal RNA
Source: RNAcentral